This 337-nucleotide long non-coding RNA is filed under the name Phaseolus vulgaris (common bean). RNAcentral's name for it is "long non-coding RNA (PVUL_LNC001276)". Lineage: Eukaryota; Viridiplantae; Streptophyta; Magnoliopsida; Fabales; Fabaceae. The record is from RNAcentral.
GCCUCUACUUCCAGCAGCUCGUCUCCGCCGUCGACUUCUGCCACAGCCGCGGCGUCUACCACCGCGACCUCAAGCCGGAGAAUCUCCUCCUCGACGAGGACGGCAACCUCAAAGUCACCGACUUCGGCCUCAGCACCUUCUCCGAGCACCUCCGCCAGGACGGCCUGCUUCACACCACGUGCGGCACCCCGGCCUACGUGGCGCCGGAGGUCAUCGGGAAAAAAGGCUACGACGGCGCCAAGGCUGAUAUCUGGUCUUGCGGUGUAAUCCUCUAUGUUCUCCUCGCAGGGUUUUUACCCUUCCAGGAUGACAACUUGGUCGCCUUGUAUAAGAAAAU